RNAcentral lists this ribosomal RNA (450 nucleotides) under uncultured Gammaproteobacteria bacterium. RNAcentral describes it as "bacterial SSU rRNA". It matches the Rfam family "Bacterial small subunit ribosomal RNA", at positions 45 to 486 of the family's 1533-position model. Lineage: Bacteria; Pseudomonadati; Pseudomonadota; Gammaproteobacteria. The record is from RNAcentral.
GGCCUAACACAUGCAAGUCGAGCGGUAGCACAGGGAGCUUGCUCCUGGGUGACGAGCGGCGGACGGGUGAGUAAUGUCUGGGAAACUGCCUGAUGGAGGGGGAUAACUACUGGAAACGGUAGCUAAUACCGCAUAAUGUCUUCGGACCAAAGAGGGGGACCUUCGGGCCUCUUGCCAUCAGAUGUGCCCAGAUGGGAUUAGCUAGUAGGUGAGGUAAUGGCUCACCUAGGCGACGAUCCCUAGCUGGUCUGAGAGGAUGACCAGCCACACUGGAACUGAGACACGGUCCAGACUCCUACGGGAGGCAGCAGUGGGGAAUAUUGCACAAUGGGCGCAAGCCUGAUGCAGCCAUGCCGCGUGUAUGAAGAAGGCCUUCGGGUUGUAAAGUACUUUCAGCGAGGAGGAAGGCAUUGUGGUUAAUAACCGCAGUGAUUGACGUUACUCGCAGAA